GAACUCUACACCUAAAUUUCUCUGUCAUCCGGGUCUGAACUUCAUUCAGCUCAUCAGGUCUUCUCUGUUGCCUUGGUAGGAGGACGAAGAAUCACAGAGCAGAGCCUUUGAUUGAUGCUGCAAUUCAAUGGAAAGAGCAUGGCUUUGGAGUAGACCGAUCUGAGUCUGAAGGCUAAUUCUACUCUUCAUAGCUGUACACCUCUACGUAUGUGCCUUAAACUUUGAAUCUCAAUUUCCUUAACUGUAAGAUGGGUAUAAUAAUAUCUAUUUUAAGAACUGUUUUGAGUAUUAAAAAAUGUAUGUAAAGCACCUAGCUUGGUUAUCUUCAUAAAUGCUAGCAAUCAUUGAUAUCCA
This 354-nucleotide long non-coding RNA is filed under the name Fukomys damarensis (Damara mole-rat). RNAcentral describes it as "lncRNA (ENSFDAG00000023205.1)". Lineage: Eukaryota; Metazoa; Chordata; Mammalia; Rodentia; Bathyergidae. The record is from RNAcentral.